RNAcentral lists this ribosomal RNA (460 nucleotides) under uncultured bacterium. Its description in RNAcentral is "partial 16S ribosomal RNA". It matches the Rfam family "Bacterial small subunit ribosomal RNA", at positions 338 to 795 of the family's 1533-position model. The record is from RNAcentral.
CCUACGGGUGGCAGCAGUGAGGAAUAUUGGUCAAUGGACGCGAGCCUGAACCAGCCAAGUAGCGUGAAGGAUGACUGCCCUAUGGGUUGUAAACUUCUUUUAUAAAGGAAUAAAAUGAGGCACGUGUGCCUUUUUGUAUGUACUUUAUGAAUAAGGAUCGGCUAACUCCGUGCCAGCAGCCGCGGUAAUACGGAGGAUCCGAGCGUUAUCCGGAUUUAUUGGGUUUAAAGGGAGCGUAGGUGGGUUGUUAAGUCAGUGGUGAAAGUUUGCGGCUCAACCGUAAAAUUGCAAUUGAUACUGGCAGCCUUGAGUACAGUUGAGGUAGGCGGAAUUCGUGGUGUAGCGGUGAAAUGCUUAGAUAUCACGAAGAACCCCGAUUGCGAAGGCAGCUUACUAAACUGCCACUGACAUUGAUGCUCGAAAGUGUGGGUAUCAAACAGGAUUAGAUACCCUAGUAGUC